UACGUAAGGGGCAAGCGUUGUCCGGAAUCACUGGGCGUAAAGCGCACGUAGGCGGUGUAGCAAGUUGGGGGUGCAAGCUCCGGGCUUAACCCGGAAACUGCCUCCAAAACUACUAUGCUUGAGAGUCAAAGGGGAAGCUGGAAUUCACGGUGUAGCGGUGAAAUGCGUAGAUAUCGGAAGGAACAUCAGUGGCGAAAGCGGCUUCCUGGACCAGCACCGACGUUCAGGCACGAAAGCGUGGGGAGCAAACAGG
Molecule: ribosomal RNA, 253 nt
Filed under: uncultured bacterium
Lineage: Bacteria
Description: partial 16S ribosomal RNA
Rfam family: Bacterial small subunit ribosomal RNA
Source: RNAcentral